GCGAAUCGCCUCGUAGCGAAGCCAUAAAAAAAGAAAAGAAGAAGAAGAAAAUUUUAUUUUUUAUUUUUUUUCUUGUCAGUAAAUAUAAAUGCAAACCAAUAAUAAUAGUAAUUAAUUUAUUUAUUAUUAAUAAUAAUAAAUAAAAUCAAAUGGAAGUUAAACAAGAAAUUGACGAGGAAACGUGUAAAGUGGAAAUAGUUGAUAAUGAUUUGGAUGAUGCUCUUUUGGAUGGCUUUAAAUGUGAAAUUCAGGAGGAAUCCGAUACAGAUACACAAAAUACCCAGGACACCUAUAAUUAUUUUAACUUAAAUAAAUGUGCCAUAAAAACUGAAAUAGAACAAUAUGGACAUGAACUUAAGCCAUUUGAAGAAAACCAAGAAACUGAAAAAGAUCGUCUGCAAGAGAACAAGAUGAAAAUUAUCGAGACACUAACUGAACAUUCAUUUCGCGAAGAAAAUUCUAUGAAUCCACAUGCAGAAGGAAAAACAUUAAAUAAAAGUAUGAAAGUAGUGACUGAAAAAAAACCUUACAAGUGUGAAAUUUGUUUUAAGCAAUUUAAUCAAGCAUAUAGCUUGAAAAGACAUUUGAGGGUGCAUACUGGACAAAAACCUCACAAGUGUGAAAUUUGUUUUAAGCAAUUUAGUGAAGCAGGUAAUUUAAAGGUACAUUUGAGACAGCACACUGGAGAAAAACCUCACGAGUGUGAAAUUUGUUUUAAGCAGUUCAGACAAGCAAAUAAUUUGAGCACACAUUUGAAAGUGCACACUGGGGAAAAACCUCACAAGUGUGAAAUUUGUUUUAAGCAAUUUAAUAUAGCAAAUAAUUUGAAAAGACAUUUGAAAGUGCACACUGGGGAAAAACCUCACAAGUGUGAAAUUUGUUUUAAGCAAUUUAAUAGAGCAAAUAAUUGGAAAACGCAUUUGAAAGUGCACACUGGGGAAAAACCUCACAAGUGUGAAAUUUGUUUUAAUCAAUUUAAUAUAGCAAAUAAUUUGAAAAGACAUUUGAAAGUGCACACUGGGGAAAAACCUCACAAGUGUGAAAUUUGUUUUAAGCAAUUUAAUAUAGCAAAUAAUUUGAAAAGACAUUUGAAAGUGCACACUGGGGAAAAACCUCACAAGUGUGAAAUUUGUUUUAAGCAAUUUAGUCAAGCAAGUGAUUUGAAAGUACAUUUGAGGGUGCACACUGGAGAAAAACCUCACAAGUGUGAAAUUUGUUUUAAGCAGUUCAGACAAGCAAGUAAUUUGAGCACACAUUUGAAAGUGCACACUGGGGAAAAACCUCACAAGUGUGAAAUUUGUUUUAAGCAGUUCAGACAAGCAAGUAAUUUGAGCACACAUUUGAAAGUGCACACUGGGGAAAAACCUCACAAGUGUGAAAUAUGUUUUAAGCAAUUUAGUCAAGCAAGUGAUUUGAAAAGACAUUUGAAAGUGCACACUGGGGAAAAACCUCACAAGCGUGAAAUUUGUUUUAACCAGUUUUCUCAGGCUGAUUCUUUGAAAACACAUUUGAGAGUGCACACUGGAGAAAAACCUCACAAGUGUGAACUUUGUUUUAAGCAAUUUAGUAAAGCAUGUACUUUAAAAGUACAUUUAAGAGUGCACACUGGAGAAAAACCUCACAAGUGUGAAAUUUGUUUUAAGCAAUUUAAUAUAGCAAAUAAUUUGAAAAGACAUUUAAAAGUGCACACUGGGAAAAAACCUCACAAGUGUGAAAUUUGUUUUAAGCAAUUUAUUCAAGCAGGUGAUUUGAAAGUACAUUUGAGGGUGCACACUGGAGAAAAACCUCACAAGUGUGAAAUUUGUUUUAAGCAGUUUAGUGGAACAGGUAAUUUGAAAAAACAUUUGAGAGUGCACACUGGAGAAAAACCUCACAAGUGUGAAAUUUGUUUUAAGCAGUUCAGACAAGCAAGUAAUUUGAGCACACAUUUGAAAGUGCACACUGGGGAAAAACCUCACAAGUGUGAAAUUUGUUUUAAACAAUUUAGUAAAGCAUGUACUUUAAAAGUACAUUUAAGAGUGCACACUGGAGAAAAACCUCACAAGUGUGAAAUUUGUUUUAAGCAAUUUGUUCAAGUAAGUCAUUUGAAAACACAUUUGAGAGUACACACUGGAGAAAAACCGUAUCAGUGUAAAAUUUGUUUAAAACGGUUUGCUCAAAAAUCUCACUUAACUGGUCACAUGAAAGUUCACACUAGCGAAAGACCCUACUAAUCUGAAAUUUGCUUUAAGAAAUUUAGUAGCAGGUAUUAUUUGAAAACUCGUACUAGAUUACAUAGUGGAGAAAAUUAAGAGUAUGAAACUGGUUUUAAGCAGUAUAUUAAUUAGUGAUGUUGAAAAAAUAACUAUUCGUUACAAAGUACUCGUUACUUACGAAUACCGAAAGUAACGAUUACUAUACAGAGAGGCAAAUCGUUACUUUUAAUACUCUAAUUACUUCGUACCAAUCGUAUCAGAGUGAGUAACGACUAUUGUAUCUACUUUGAUUACUCUGAUUACUUCGUUACUUCAUACCAAUCGUAUUAGAGCGAGUAACGACUAUUUUAUCUACUUUGAUUACUUCGUACCAAUCGUAUCAGAGCGAGUAACGACUAUUGUAUCUACUUUGAUUACUCUGAUUAAUUCGUACUUCGUGAAGGUCGUUAUUAUAUCGGAAUACCUAUACAAAAUACCUACCUACUGAGAAAUACUAUUAUCGAUAUGUACUCAAAUACAAAAGUAAUCAUAGUAAUCAAAUCAUUUUUAUCCCUUAAACAGAUCGGCGAAGGUCGUUGUUAUAUCGGAAUACCUAUACAAAAUACCUACAUACUGAGAAAUAUGAUUCUCGAUAUGAUUACCGGUACUCAAAUACAAAAGUAAUCAAAGUAACGAAUACUGUAAAUGAUUACUUUAUACAAAAGUAACGAUUUGUAACAAAUACUCGAAAGUAACUAUAAUUAACAUCAUUAAUAUUACUGCCAGUAGUUUGAAUAAACAUUUGAAAACACGUUGAAGGAAAACCUCAAGUGUGAAAUUUGUUUAAAGCAGUUUAAUAGAUCAGGUGAUUUAAAAAUACAUUUGAGAGUGUACACUGGAGAAACACAUUAGGUACCUUUACACUUACAUUCUUUCGCGGGCGUUUUGAACGGCCCAUUCCAUUUGCGCGAGAAAGCCUGUCAGUGGGUGCGUUCGGAUGACCAUAGCGGCUGGCUGCCAGCAGAAAUCGGCUGAGUGGUUGCAUCCAGCCGUGAUAGGGAAAGCUUAGUAAAUCUCUCAGCGGCUGGCUUCCAGCGGUGACGUCUGACAGCUACUGCUGGCUCAGCUGUCCAGCCGCUGUGGUCGUCCGAACGCACCCAUUGUAAUCGUUUUUGCGCGCUACUUUGCAGUGAAAGAUAAGUGAAAGCACACGGUUGUGAAAGCACAUGUUCCAAGAGUGUCAAUCGGACCAUGAUAGUGUGACGUCAAAACGUCAAAAUUUAUCCAAACACGUUGUGUCUAGUGUAUACGCUACCGUGUACGCAAAUAAAAAAGUUAGGUAGAAUUGAACGUCAUAACAAAUAUUUUUCUAUCAAACAAACACUAAACAUAUCAAAAUAGCGUGUAUCAAAAUAUACAGUCACUGCCCACGCUAAAUAGUCACUAGUUUGAUGAAGUUUAACUUUUUUAUUUGCGUACAUUUUAGCGUGUACGUAGACACAACGUGUUUGGAAAACUUUUUUUGACGUCACGACUAUCACGGUCUAUUUAAACUUCCACUCUAAACGUUUGGUCUAAUCAUGGGGAAUUCACGGUACUGGUCAAACGGCUUCAAAAGUGAAUUCUUGGAAAUGUAUAUUUCCUUGUUUAUGGAAAGUCCAAUCUAAAGAAUAUUGCAAUAAAGAUCUAAAAGCAUUAGCAUUAUUUAUUUAUUUAUUAAGCGCAACAGGCCUUGUAGGCCUAGGGCUAAAAUGUUUACAUUUCUGAAAAGCAUUAGCAUACGAAGAGCUAAUUAAACUUUGCAAAAACGUUUAUCCAGAGGCCAAAAGAUCCAAAGUUUUCGUGGGUCAUUCAGAAAAGAUGUGCGCUGUAGCACACAAAGCAAAGUAAUUGUUUUUCUUUUUUAUUUUGAACAUUGUGGGGAAUCUCACUAAAACUGCUAAACCUUCUACCACGCCACUCGAAUCACGAAGGAUAAGUUGACAGUUUUACAUUUAUACUUUCGUUUUUAUCUCUCGCGUUUAAAACGGCGUGCUAUCCUCUAAGACUGGAGCACAGUAUAUAGAGGUUCCAUAGUCCCUCUUUAUACUGUGACUGGAGCGUCCUAGCUAUUAUCGACACACGCUUCGAACGGCGCAAUCUUUCUGCUGCUUAAUUACGCCGAUUGGAAUGAGCCAUUCAAUCGCACGGGAAAGAAUGUAAGUAUAAAGGUACCUACCUUUACACGUACAUUCUUUUGUCAAAUUGACAUACUACAUCCCUGUUAGCUAUCACAAACUAAAAUUUUUGUACAGCAAAUUGUUUUCGAAACGAAGCUAUUCACAAAGCUUUCAGCUUGAUAGUAAUUAUUUUUACAUCAGGUAUUUUUACUACAACUUUUGAACAAGAGAAAUCGUUUGAUUGAGUCCAAUUAAAAGAUUACCUAUAUGACAAAAAUUUACCACUGUCUAUCAUAAAACUGAUAGAAAACAUAUGUAAGAAAUAAAAUAGAAAUGAAAAUCAAUGGAAUAAUAACAGAACCCAUAGAAACAAACACAGGAAUCAGGCAAGGAGAUUCACUAAGCCCUCUACUGUUUAACAUAAUGUUGGAUGCAAUAAUAAAACAAGUGAAGAAAAAAGAGGGUACAAAAUGGGCGAUAGAGAGAUAAAAAUACACCGUUACGCUGAUGACACCGUGUUAGUAACAGAGUGCGAAGAAGAACUACAAAGAUUACUUCACGAAUUCAACAUUAACGCAAAAGAAAUGGAAAAUAUCAGCCCAAAAAACAAAAGCUUAGUAAUAGCCAAAGAAUCAGUAAGAUGCAAAUGUCUUCGCACUCUUCUACUAACACGGUGUCAUCAGCGUAACAGAGUAUUUUUAUCUCUCUAUCGCCCAUUUUGUACCAUCUUUUUUUCUCCAAUUAUUGGAGUUAGACAAUCAAAUUAUACAACAAGUAAUGACUUUCAAAUACCUGGGAAUUAAUCCGUCAGCCGACAACAAUAUCGAAGAAGAGGUAAAAGACCAAAUAAUUAAAGCCAGUAGAACAGCCGGAUGCCUAAACGACACAAUUUGGAAAAACAAACACCUAAGAUUGGAAACAGGUCCGAAUAAUAUGUCAGUUAUUAGGCCAGUAUGACUUACAUGGCCGAAACAAGACCAGAUACAAGCCAAACACGAAGACAUCUGUAGACCAACGAAAUGAAGAUCUUAAGAGGGAUUGCUGGAAAAGGACUACAGGAUAGGGUAAAGAGUGAGGAAAUCAGACGCAUAUGUGUGAUAGACAAUAUAAAUACCUAGGUAAAGAACAGAAAAGAAGAGUGGAAUGAACACAUAAGCAGGAUAUCUGAAUCAAGGAUAGUAAGAAUAGCCAGGGACAAGUCACUGUUAGGCAGAAGAAUUAUAGGACGCCCAAAUAAAAGAUGGAAUGGCAACUUAGGGGCAGAAUGAUAGGCACCAUUCAACAAAAACAGGCAGUACUGCCUAUAUAAAAAAAGAAGACGAAGAAGAACUUUUGAACGUUGGACCAGGAUAAAGUACCACGCAAUUUGUAGGACAAUGUGGGUGUUAAAUUAUGUAAAUAUUAAAACAAUCGAUUAAUCAACAGAGAAAAAAAUCAGUUGGUUAGUUAUUAUUUUUCAUGGCCUCGUUAAUUAUACAUAUUGGAAAGGGGACUCUUUGAUAAGACCUUGCAUUUUGUAGGACAAAUAUUUUUCGACUAAUUGAGAUAAUUAGUGUAGUAAAGAAAAGAGAGACGUUCUCACAAACAAUUUAUUUUACAACUGACGACCGGUUUCGCUGUCUACACUUUGCACAGCAUCUUCAGGUCCCGGUGAAAGUAAAAUUAAAUGCUACAAACAACA
RNAcentral lists this unclassified non-coding RNA (6014 nucleotides) under Diabrotica virgifera virgifera (western corn rootworm). RNAcentral's name for it is "zinc finger protein 271-like". Lineage: Eukaryota; Metazoa; Arthropoda; Insecta; Coleoptera; Chrysomelidae. The record is from RNAcentral.